UUUCGGCGAGUGAAACGGGAAAAGCUCAACUUUGUAAUCUGGCAGCUUUGCUGUCCGAGUUGUAGUCUCGAGAAGUGUUUUCCGCGCUGGAUCGUGUAUGAGUCUGUUGGAAUACAGCGUCAUAGAGGGUGAGAACCCCGUUCGUGACACGACUACCAGUGCUUUGUGAUACAUUUUCGAUGAGUCGAGUUGUUCUGGGAAUGCAUCUCAAAUUGGGUGGUAAAUUCCAUCUAAAGCUAAAUAUUGGCGAGAGACCGAUAGCAAACAAGUACCGUGAGGGAAAGAUGAAAAGCACUUUGGAAAGAGAGUUAACAGUACGUGAAAUUGUUGAAAGGGAAACGUUUGAAGUCAGACGUGCGUUGUGCGAUUCAGCUCCGGUUCGCCGGAGUGUAUUUCGUACUAUUGCAGGCCAGCAUCGGUUUGGCGAGUCGGAUAAAGGUUAGAGAAAGGUAGCGGCUCCGGCCGUGUUAUAGUCUUUAACUGAAUACGAAUUGCUAGACCGAGGGACGCAGCGCGCCGCAAGGCAAAGCUUUCGGGCUUUUCGCGCUUAGGAUGCUGGUGAAAUGGCUUUAAAUGACCCGUCUUGAAACACGGACCAAGGAGUCUAACAUGCUUGCGAGUGUUUGGGUGUCAAACCCAUACGCGUAAUGAAAGUGAAUGGAGGUGGGAUCCUUUACCGGAGCACCAUCGACCGAUCCGGAUUUUUAAUGAUGGAUUUGAGUAAGAGCACGUAUGUUGG
This 739-nucleotide ribosomal RNA is filed under the name [Rhodotorula] sp. 'chungnamensis'. RNAcentral describes it as "eukaryotic LSU rRNA". It matches the Rfam family "Eukaryotic large subunit ribosomal RNA", at positions 84 to 812 of the family's 3401-position model. The record is from RNAcentral. Lineage: Eukaryota; Fungi; Basidiomycota; Cystobasidiomycetes; Symmetrosporaceae.